This is a long non-coding RNA of Emys orbicularis (European pond turtle), 914 nucleotides long. RefSeq lists it as uncharacterized. Lineage: Eukaryota; Metazoa; Chordata; Testudines; Emydidae. The record is from RefSeq and is a predicted model, not a curated record. The transcript is spliced from 4 exons.
AGAAUGCGUCCAUAUCCUGACUCCCGAGGCCGAAGAGGAGGCAGAGGGGGGCCACCAUUUUUAUCACCCCCACCCAUGAGAGGAAUGAUGAGAGAUCCUUUCUCACUUCCACCACCAAGACAUGGACUUCCUCCACCACCACCAGGACCAAUGGGCUUCAGAGGCAGGCCACCCCACCCCAGAGCCAGAGGGAUGCUGCAGAUGCCAAGAGGUCGAUUCCCUCCGCCAAGAAGGGUAACAUAGUCACUCUUUGAGGCCAAUUGGAGAUGGUAUGCAGACCUUUUGGAGAGCGUACAACAAGACUUAUCUGAGCAUAUGCCAAACAAUAGUUCUGGAGUCAGUUACUAUAAUGUCCUUCGUUUGUUCUAGUAGUAAUUUCUAAAUUGAGAAACUAUUUCACUUGUUUUCACUAUUGAGAUCUCUAUUUUGAACUCUUGGAAUUUUUGCUAUGGGGAAACUACGAAUGGCAGAGCUGAAAUUCAAGCUGGAAGUUCUGUUGAGUUCAAGGAGCAAAAGAUUGGUAUGUUCAUUAUGACUCUUAAUUUCUUAUACUGUAAUUACUGUAAUGUACAGUUAGUAUAAGAAUAUUGUAGAAGCACUUAAGUUUUCUGCAAAGUACUACCAAACUUUUUAGGAAAGAAGUAUGAAUACUGUACAUUAGAAUACAGAAUAGAAUGCCAGUGAUGACUUAUAGUUCUAAGUAUGUGUAUAAAUAGGUAGUGUCUCUUAUUUUAAAACUGAUAUUCUGUGGGAAAGUUUUCCUGUCAUCUACAUUUUUUUGUUUAAAAAAAUAAAUUAAACAUUAAAACAUUAUUUUGUUGUGAUCCAAAAUACAGCAUUUGCACAGGCUGUCUGAGAUAUACUGUUCUGAAGUAGUAGUUAUUAACACCAAAUUUAUAUAAAAAUAAACAGUA